This 73-nucleotide transfer RNA is filed under the name Fukomys damarensis (Damara mole-rat). It matches the Rfam family "tRNA". Rfam says of the family: Transfer RNA (tRNA) molecules are approximately 80 nucleotides in length. Their secondary structure includes four short double-helical elements and three loops (D, anti-codon, and T loops). The record is from Rfam by way of RNAcentral. Lineage: Eukaryota; Metazoa; Chordata; Mammalia; Rodentia; Bathyergidae.
GGGGAUUUAACUCAGUGGUUCCAGUGCCUGCCUUGCAAGCACAAGGACCUGAGUUCGAUCCCCAGUACCCCCC